AACGAACGCUGGCGGCAGGCUUAACACAUGCAAGUCGAACGCCCCGCAAGGGGAGUGGCAGACGGGUGAGUAACGCGUGGGAACGUGCCCUUCGCUUCGGAAUAGUCCCGGGAAACUGGGGUUAAUACCGGAUACGCCGUAUUGGGAAAGAUUUAUCGGCGAAGGAUCGGCCCGCGUUAGAUUAGGUAGUUGGCGGUGUAAUGGACCACCAAGCCUACGAUCUAUAGCUGGUCUGAGAGGAUGAUCAGCCACACUGGGACUGAGACACGGCCCAGACUCCUACGGGAGGCAGCAGUGGGGAAUCUUGGACAAUGGGCGCAAGCCUGAUCCAGCCAUGCCGCGUGAGUGAAGAAGGCCUUAGGGUUGUAAAACUCUUUCGCCGGAGAGGAUAAUGACGGUAUCCGGAGAAGAAGCCCCGGCUAACUUCGUGCCAGCAGCCGCCGUAA
Molecule: ribosomal RNA, 446 nt
Filed under: uncultured bacterium
Lineage: Bacteria
Description: partial 16S ribosomal RNA
Rfam family: Bacterial small subunit ribosomal RNA
Source: RNAcentral